Molecule: long non-coding RNA, 715 nt
Organism: Erinaceus europaeus (western European hedgehog)
Lineage: Eukaryota; Metazoa; Chordata; Mammalia; Eulipotyphla; Erinaceidae
Exons: 2
Source: RefSeq, a predicted model, not a curated record
CUCGUCGAAGCGGCUGACCACGGCCUGGACCCAUUCCACCGGCCUGUGCGCGGCCAUGUCCUCCCCGCGGCUGGGGAGCGGCGGAGGCACGGGCCGGCCGGCGCCCAGGGCCGGGAAGAGGGCGGGGAGCGGGGGCUGAGCCAUCACAGUCCGAGACGCCGCCAUGACACCCCACCGGAAGUGGGAUCCUUUCCACGGCCUGGGGAGAGGGAGCGAGAGCUAGAGACUGAGUGCGGCUGGGAAAGGGGAGGGGGGAAGCGAGAGCGAAGGGGGCCUGCCGCGCAUGCGCCCGCGCCGGCCGGUUUCAUUAAUGAAAAAGCGAGUCCUCCUGGAGGUGACGUCACCUAACUCCUUCGGGCCUGGAGGCGCGCGUCCUACAAGGCCUCCGGGUUCACCUAGACUCUCCACCGAGGAUUCGGCCAGCGUGACUCCGAACUGACCCGGGAGCAUCUGCUUCAUCCCCACCGCCAUAUCAGACUCCCCCUCCCCCGCCGGCCUCGGGAUUUGGAUUGCUCCCCAGGUUGGAAGUUAGGGCGCCCUGAGGCUAGCAUUUCUUCCAAUGCGCUCAUCUCCCGCUGCGCCUUGUGGAAGCUGUGCUGAGCCUCUCUUUUCUCACCAAGAAUGUGGCAUACAACUUUGGGUUCCCAAGCCCUCCCUAGAUAUUCUAGACUUUUGAGAAGCUGGGAAAAAUAAAUAAAUAAUAAAAAGGCCAAAA